This 393-nucleotide ribosomal RNA is filed under the name Salmonella enterica subsp. enterica. RNAcentral describes it as "partial 23S ribosomal RNA". It matches the Rfam family "Bacterial large subunit ribosomal RNA", at positions 911 to 1301 of the family's 2925-position model. The record is from RNAcentral. Lineage: Bacteria; Pseudomonadati; Pseudomonadota; Gammaproteobacteria; Enterobacterales; Enterobacteriaceae.
UGUUUCGGCUAGGGGGCCAUCCCGGCUUACCAACCCGAUGCAAACUGCGAAUACCGGAGAAUGUUAUCACGGGAGACACACGGCGGGUGCUAACGUCCGUCGUGAAGAGGGAAACAACCCAGACCGCCAGCUAAGGUCCCAAAGUCAUGGUUAAGUGGGAAACGAUGUGGGAAGGCCCAGACAGCCAGGAUGUUGGCUUAGAAGCAGCCAUCAUUUAAAGAAAGCGUAAUAGCUCACUGGUCGAGUCGGCCUGCGCGGAAGAUGUAACGGGGCUAAACCAUGCACCGAAGCUGCGGCAGCGACACUGUGUGUUGUUGGGUAGGGGAGCGUUCUGUAAGCCUGUGAAGGUGGCCUGUGAGGGUUGCUGGAGGUAUCAGAAGUGCGAAUGCUGAC